UAUAAUUUUCAAUAAGUUUGGAGAGUUUCUGGCCAUUAUUUCUUGAAAUGGUUUUCUGUUACCUUCCCUUUCUCUCCUUUAGGGAGUCCAGUUGCCCAUGUUUUAGGCUGUUUGAAGUUGACCAAUAAUUCACUGAUGCUGUUUUCCUUUUUUGCCUUUUUUGGGUAGCUUCCAUUGCUAUGCCUUCAAAUUCACUAAUCUUUUCUUCUGCAGUUUCUAAUAUGCUGUCAAUCCCAUUCAGUGCAUGUAUGUUUUUUUCUUUGUUUGUCUCUGACAUUGUAGUUUUCAUCUCCACAAGUUAGAAUUUGGUCUUCUUUUCAUAUUUCUAUUUCUCUACUUGUCGAACUGGAAUACAGUUAUAGUAACUAUUUUAAAGUCCUUCUCUUAUAAUUCCAACAUCUGUGUCAAUUCUGGGUUAGUUUUAAUUGAUUGAUUAUUUUCCUUAUUAUGUUUUCCUAUUUCUUUGCAUUCCUGGUAAACUUUGGUUGUAUGCUAGACAUUGUGAAUUUUUUAUCUUGUUGGGUGAUAGCUGUUUUUGUAUUCACAUAAUUAUUCUUGAGUUAUGUUUUGGGAUGCAGUUAAGUUACUUGGAAACAGUUUGAUCCUUUUGGCCCUUGCUUUUGUGGUUUGUUUGGUGAAUUUGUUAGUAUUUAGUCUAGGACUAAUUAUUUCCUUCUACUGAGGCAAGAUCAUCCUGAGUACUAUACCCAGAGCCCUGUGAAUUACGAGUUUUUCCAGUCUACAUAGUGGGAACAGGCACUAUUCCUGGUUCUGUGUCAGUGAGAGGUACAGUUCCCUUUAAUCCUUUCAGAUGACUCUUUUCCUGGCCUUAGAUGCUGUUUUCAUAUGGACACACUUAUGAGUACUCUGCUAAAUACUUGAAAGGGACCCUUUUUAGAUCUCUGGGGCUCUCUCCUUUCUGGUAUUCUGAGUAUGAACUUCAGCUGCCCAGGCUCUACUUCAGGUCCCCGUCCCUGUGCUACAGGCUGGAAACUCUCUCAAGGCAGUAUGUUGGGACAACUGUAUGACUCACCUUGUUUGUUUUCCAUUUCUCAAGGUCAAAGUCUUUUCUUGUCUGAUUUCAAGGUCUUGAAAAUUGUUGUUUCAUGUAUUUUGCCCACUUUCGGGGAUAGGGUUGUUUCAGGUGAGUGGGUAAACACAGUCUCUGUUAGUACUUGUCUUAGGUUGGGUUCUCUAGAGAAGCAAAGCCAGUAAAGUGUAUAAAUAUAUAUACAGAGAGAUAUUUAUAUCAAGGAAAUGGCUCGAGUGGUUGUAGAGGCUGGAAGGUCCCAAGUCCAUGGAUCAGGAUAGAGGCUUCUCCUAAUUCACAUAGCUGCAGCGUUGCUGAACCCAGGAUCGGCAGACUGGAGAACAAGGCUCUUGCUCACAGGCUGUGAAGAUUGACGAAUCCCAAGAUUGGCAGGCAGGACUGCAGGUAAGCUGCUAGCUCAAGUCCCAAGGACUGGAGGUCAGACUAACAGGAGCCAGCUGUAGGAUCCAAAAUGAGAAAAAGCCUCCAAACCUUGCCAGAAUGUUUGCUUAUAUUCUGAUGCAGGCCCCAUGCCCCAGGCAAAUCUCUUUCAAGAGAUUGGCUACUCGUAGCAGAUCCCAUCAUAGAAGCUAUCACCUAUUAAGUCUCAACAGGGAAAUGAUCACACAUUAUACCACUGCCAAAACACUGAGAAUCAUGGCCCAGACAGUUGACACACAAUCUUAACCACCACAAUACUUUAAAGAGAUCUUUUGCAGCAGAUUUGCCCAACACAGUAUGUCAUUUGAUUUCUUGACUGCUGCUUGCAUGAGCGUAGAUUUUGAAUCCAAGGAAAAUUAAAUCCUGGACAACUUCAAUCUUUUCUCCUUUUAUCGUGAUGUUACUUAUUGGUCCAGUUAUGAGGAUUUUUGUUUUCUUUAUAUUGAGAUAUAAUUCAUACUGAAGGCUGUAGCCUUUGAUCUUCAUCAGUAAGUGAUUCAAGUCCUCUUCACUUUCAGCAAGCAAAGUUUUGUCAUCUGCAUAUCACAGGUUGUUAAUGAGUGUUACUCCAAUCCUGAUGCCCUGUUCUUCCUCAUAUAGUCCAGAUUCUCAGAUUAUUUUCUCAGCAUAGAUUGAAUAAGUGUGGUGAAAUGACAUACUCCUGACACACACCUUCCCUGAUUUUAAACCACGCAGUAUCCCCUUGUUCUGUUCAAAUGGCUGCCUCUUGGUCUAUGUACAGAUUGCUCAUGAGAACAAUUAAGUGUUCUCAAAUUCCCAUUCUUCACAAUGUUAUCCAGAAUUUGUUAUGACCAAUACAGUGAAAUGCCUUUGCUUAGUCAACAAAACACCAGUAAACAUCCUUCUUGUAUUCCCUGCUUUCAGCCAAAAUUCACCUGACAUCAGCACUGAUAUCCCUCAUACCACAUCCUCUUCUGAAUCUGGCUUGAAUUUCUGGUAGUUCCUUGUCGAAGUACUGUUUCAACUGUGUUUUAAUUAUCUUCAGCAAAGGUUUACUUGGUGUGUGAUAUUAAUGAUAUUUUUUUGAUAAUUUCUGCAUUCUGAUGGAUCAGAUUUCUUUGGAAUGGGCACAAAUAUGGAUCUAUUUUAGUCAGUUGACCAGGUAUCUGUCUUCCAAAUUUCUUGGCAUAGAUGAGUGGGCACUUUCAGUAUUGCAUCCGUUUGUGGAAACGUAUAAAUUGGUAUUCCAUCAGUUCCUAGAGCUUUGCAUUUCACCAAUGCCUUCAGUGCAGCAUGAACUUCUUCCCUCAGUACCAAUGGUUCUUGAUCAUAUGCUACCGCUUGAUAUGGUUGAAUGUCGAUAAAUUCUUUUUGGUACAGUGACUCUGUGGAUUGCUUCCAUCUUCUUUUGUUGCUUCCCAUGUUGUUCAAUAUUUUGCCCAUAGAAUUCUUCAAUAUUGCAACUUGAGGCCUGAAUUUUUUUUUCAGUUCUUUCAGCUUGAGAAAAGCCAAGUGUAUUCUUCCCUUUUGGUUUUCUAACUCCAGGUCUUUGGAAUUUCAUUAUAAUACUUUACUUUGUCUUCUCGAGCAGCCCUUUCAAAUCUUCCAUUCAGCUCUUUUACUUAGUCAUUUCUUCCAUUCGCCUUAAGCUACUCUAAAUUCAAGAGCAAGUUUCAGAGUCUCUUCUGACAUCCAUUUUGCUCUUUUCUUUCUUUCCUGUCUUUUUAAUGACCUUUUGCUUUCUUCAUGUAUGAUGGCCUUGAUGUCAUCCCACAACUCAUCUGAUCUUUGGUCAUUAGUGUUCAAUGCAUCAAAUCUAAUCUUGAGACUGUCUCUAAAUUCAGGUGGGAUAUACUUAAGGUCGUAUUUUGGGUCUCAUGGACUUGUUUUAAUUUUGUUUAGCUUCAACUUGAACUUGCGUGUGAGCAAUUGAUGGUCUGUUCCACAGUAGGCCCCUGGCCUUGUUUUGACUGAUGAUAGUGAGCUUCUCCAUCAUCUCUUUCCACAGAUGUAGUCGAUUUGAUUCCUGUGUAUUCCAUCUGGUGAGAUCCAUGUGUAUAGUCACUGUUUAUGUUGUUGAAAAAAGGUAUUUCCAAUGACUGGACUGUUGGUCUAGCAACAUUCUAUCAUUCUGUCCCCCACAUCAUUUCUAUCACCAAGACUAAAAUUUUCAGCUACUGAUCCUUCUUCUUUGUUUCCAACUUUCAUAUUCCAAUCACCGGUAAUUAUCAGUGCAUCUUGAUGUCACAUUUGAUCAGUUUCAGAAUGCAAGAGUUGAUAAAAAUCUUCAAUUUCUUCAUCUUUGGCAUUAGUGGUUGGUAUAUAAAUUUGAAUAAUAAUCAUAUCAACUGGUUUAUGGGUAUUAUCCUAUCACUGACAGCAUUUUACUUCAGCAUAGCUCUUACAAUGUUCUUUUGGACAAUGAAUGCUAAACCAUUCCUCCUGAAUUUGUCAUUCCCAGCGUAGUAGACCAUAGGAUUCCUCUACUAUAUUCGUAAUUACUUUUUACAACAGGAAAAUAUGAGUACUAAAAAAAAUACUUGGUCACAAAAGUAUUCAUUGAGUGCCACCUGUGUGCUGUCCAUUUCAAAGUGGUAGAGUAGUAACACCAAUAUUUACCACACACCUACUUGGAACUGAGUAAUUUACCUGUAUUAAGUCACUUAAUUUUUACAGCAUCGUAGAGCUGCACUGUCUCACAUGGUAGCUACUACCCACAUGUGAUUAUGGAGCAGUUGAAAUCUGGCUAGUCUGAACUGAGAUGUGCUGUAGGCAUAAAGGAAACCCUGGUGGCAUAGUGGCUAAGUGCUACAGCUGCUAACCAAAAGGUCGGCAGUUUGAAUCUACCAGGAGCUCCUUGGAAAUUCUGUGGGGCAGCUCUACUCUGUCCUAUAGGGUCGCUAUUAGUCAGAAUUGACUUGAUGGUAACAGGUUUGGUUUUAGGGUUUUUUUUAAAGGUAUAAAAUACAUGCUGAUUUUGAAGAUUUAUUUCUUAGUUACCUAGUGUUUCUGUAACAAAAAAUACCAAAAGUGGGUGGCUUUAAGGACCAGAAAUUUAUUUUUUCACAAUUCAGGAGGCUAGAAGUUUACAUUCAGGGGAUCAGCUCUUGGGGGAGGUCCUUUUUCAACUCUUUCAACUUCUAGAAGGUGUCGGCAUCCUUGGUUAUCCUGGGCUUGUAAAUGUAUCUCUAUCUGUUGUCACAUAGCAUCUGCUAUGUGUAUGUCUCUAUGUUUAGUCUGCUCUUUUUAUAAGACACCUCUCAAAAGUGCUUAGGUUUAGGAUACACCCUACUCUGGAAUGGCCUCAUUAGCAUAACAGAAGAAAAUUAUUCUUAAACGGGGUCCUAUUCACAGGUACAAGGGUCAGGACUUCAACACAUAUUUUUGGGGGACACAAUUCAAUCCACGACAACUUAGUAUUAGAAAAACAAACGUAAAAUAGCCCAUUGAUUUUUUACUUGAUUAUUUGUUGAAAUUACAGUAUUUCAGAUAUCUUAGGCUAAAUAAAAUUUUUAAAAAUUAAUUUCACCUGUUUCUUUUUCCUCUUUAUCAUAUGAGUACUAAAAUUUUUAAAAAUUACAUAUGCAGUUUAUAUUUGUGGCUCAUAUUAUAUUUCUAUUGGACAGUGCUGGCCUAGAAGGUUGUUGUUGCUCUUAGGUGCCAUCAAAUUGGUUCUGACUCAUGGUGACCCUAUGUACAACUGAAAGAAACACUGCCCAGUCUUGCGCCAUCCUCACAAUCAAUGCUAUAUUUGAUCUCAUUGUUGCAGCCACCAUGUCAAUCCAUCUUAUUAAAGGCCUUCCUCUUUUUUGUUGACUCUCUAUUUUACUAAGCAGGAUGUCCUAAAAGGUAGGUGUUGCCAUCUGCUCAUUUUUCAGAUGAAGAAACUGAGGGGCUAAGUAACCUGCCAGAGUCAUAGAGCAGUAAGUGAUGAGGGCAGGGUUGACAGCCAAGCCUACUGACUCUACCUCAUCACCUGCUUCCCUUUCUGUCCUCCUAAAUCCUCUAAUCCGCAUUAGUCAGACCAGUGUUAUGUGCUCAAGACAAGCAGUGAGCAUGGACCUCGACAUGGACUCUCUGACUCAAAUAUUUGUUAUUAGGUUUUGUUUUCUUGUUGUUGUUAGCUGUCAUUGAGUCAGCUCAUGGUGACCCCAUGCACAAUGGAAUGAAAUACUGCCCAGCCCUGCACCAUCCCCGUGAUCGGUUGAAGAUCAGACCACUGUGAUCCACAGGGUUUUCACUGGUUGAUUUUCAGAAGUAGAUCACCAGGCCUUUCUUCCUAGUCCGUCUUAGCCAGGAAGCUGUGCUGAAAUCUGUUCAGCAUCAUAGAAACAUGCAAGCCAGACUUGCAAGACAGACAGGUGGUGGUGACUGCCCAUGGGGUGCACUGGGUGGGAAUCAAAGCCAAAUCUUCUGCAUGAAAGGGGAGAAUUCUACCACUAAACCCCCAUAAACACAUGUUUGGAAACAUAUUAUGUAGAAGGCAUGGUAUAAGGUACAACUACUCUUGCUAGGCCCUGUUCAAGUGACUAUGAUGAUGAUGACAGCUAGCAUUUACUGAGUGCUCACCAUUUUCCAGGCAUCGUGCUAGGCACUUUAUGUGCUGUCUUAGUCAUCUAGUGCUGCUAUAACAGAAAUACCACAAGUGGAUGGCUUUAACAAAGAGAAGUUUAUUCUCUGAUGGUCCAGUAGGCUAGAAGUCCAAAUUCAGGGCACAGGCUCCAGGGGAAAGCUUUCUCUCUCUGUCAACUCUGGAGGAAGGUCCUUGUCAUCAGUCUUCCCUUGGUUUGGGAACAUCUCAAUGCAGGAACCAAAGGACACACUCUGCUUCUGGCACUGCUUCCUUGGUGGUAUGAGGUCCCCUCAUUUCUCUGCUGGGUUGUCUCUCUUAUAUCUCAAGAGCAAUUGGCUUAAAUUGGCUUAAGACACUAUCUAAUCUUGUAGAUCUCAUCAAUAUAACUGCCACUAAUCUAUCUCAUCACAUCAUAAUCCAUCUCAUUACAUCAUAGUGAUAGGAUUUACAGCACAUAGGGAAAUCACAUCAGAUGACAAAUGGUAGACAAUCAUACAAUACUGGGAAUCAUGACCUAGCCAAGUUGAGAGAUAUUUUGGGGCGACACAAUUCAACCCAUGACAUAAGCACUACCUCAUUUAACCCUCACACCAAUCGCAUGAGAUUAUUAUUCUUAGUACUAAUUUACUGAUGAGGGAACCGAGACUAGGAGAAGAGAAAUCCUUUGCUCUGGGUUAUACAUACAGCCAGUAUGUGGCACAGCCAGGGCUCAAACCCAGCUUUGCCUGAGUUGAGAGUUUGUCCUGUUAAGCCUCCCUUGCCAAACCUAGUCUUAGUGGCGAAAGGCAAUAUACAUAGUCAGGUCACCAUUACACAGUGUGGAAGGUGACAGGUGACCUAGUAUGAGGCCAGAAUAGAGUGGACUAGGUCCACAAGGGAAAUGAGAGAGAAUUUGGAGAACUAAACGAAUCACACAUCCUGGUCAAAUCAUGAGACGGAGUGACUUCAGGCUAGGAAAAGACUCAGCCACAACCUGAGGAAUGUGCUAACAGGAGAAAGAAUGUGUCGGUGAGAGGGGAGGCUGGGCAGAGUGGGAUAUAUGUCUCCUGGGACUGAGAAGUGGAGCUUGAAGAUCGCCUGUGUUUGACUUAAUAGAUUGACAAGCCUAUUAACUUUGCUCACCUUCCUGUGUGGAUUCCCUCCAAACCGGACAACAAGUUGGCUUCCUGGUGAUUUGCAUCUGGGGAGAAAAUUCUGGACAGUGUGAUCCUCGUGUUUCUCGUGGAAAUUGAGUGAGCCGUAGUUUUAGAGAGUUUACUGGUCUCACCUGCUUGGUAUUCGGCCUCGUUCCUGAACUCUUCCCUUUUGGCUUUGUCCCUGUAUAUCUCAGACUAGCUCCGGGUCUGGAUCUUUCUAGAGCGGCUGCUUCUGUUCUCCAGGUGCCACCGCAGUGGCCCCAGACAAGUGACGCUACAAGCAGUGCCCAGCUGCAGGGCUCCCUGCCCGGUGCUCUUCCUGCCCCCACCUGCUGGCAGGAAAUCGGAUAGCAUGGGCCUUUGACUUGAUUCGAGGGGUUACUUUCUGCUUUUUUCCUCUGGCUUUUGAAGGUAUAAUAAAUGUACUAAGGUAGUCUAUAAAGGUAUAAUAAAUAAUGGAGAUCAUUUUUAUUUGUUUUAUUUUGGGGAGUAUCUGCUUUAAAAAAAAAAAAAAAAGUCAGCCUCUUCCUACUUUUUUCGUUUGAUGUGAAUCAAGUCUUCAUUAUCUUCUAGAGAAUUCCCAAAAUCGAGAUUUUGGACUUGACAAGCCUUAGUUUCCUCAUCUGUAAAGUAGGAAUAUGUGCAAAGAUGAGAUGAGAUAUUGAAAGAAAAGUGCUUGUAAAUGCUCAAUGAGUAUUGGGGAUCAUAACCUACAAAUCCGCCAAGACCUUCCUGUUCCUUGAGAUGUAGGUAAGGUGGACUUGAGCCUCAUGUCCCAGGCCUGCAGUGGUCUGAAGCCGUCCCCAAGCGGAAUUUCCAGGACCAUGUGUGACCUCACAGGCGCCUUUGCCUCUGGGCUUCUGUUUUCAAACAUGUGUUUUCUGUUCCGUGCCAUGGGUGACAAUCUCAGUUCUUCCCUUAAUUUCCACCAAAACCAAAACAGAAACAAAGCUUAAAAAUAAGCCCUUCCCUUCCGCCCUUCCCCCCCCACCGCCCGCAUAAAACAUCCACGAGUAUGAUCAACUUUACUGAAAAUGAAGUACUGAGAUGAAGGGCCAUACUGUACCCCUCGGUGCCCAUACACCUGAACUUUCCCAGUGAUAUUCUUGUGUUUUACCGUCACAUCCGUUACCUUACUGUGGGGGUCCCUUGUUGACGCUUCACCCCAAAAGUGAGGAGCCAUCUCUCUGGCUCCUUCUCCCCUCUCUCCCUUCCUCGUUGUUCUCUCUUUUCCCUCCCUCUCUGUCUCCUUCUUAACCAUUCAGGUGUCUGCUCAAAUGUCACCUUCUCACACAAGUCAUCUCUACCACAUUUUAUAGAGGUGCCUCCUUUCUUUCCCACCAGUCACUCUCUAUUACUUUAUUUCAUGUUAUUUUCCCUAUAACACUUAUGGCUAACUGAAAUCGUGUAUGUAUUUGUUUGCCCAAUUAUUGAUUGCCCAUCUUCCCCCACUAGAAGAUAACCUUCACAGGAGCAGAGCUCUUGUCUGUCUGCAAGCUUUUGCACACCCACCUUCAUAGCACUGAACAGGGGUGUCUAACUUUCAGCUUUAAGCUAUUUGUCAGUGUAACUCCCCUCUACAUGAUCCCUCUUUUCUGAGUUUAGACCUUCAGCAAAGUGGGAUACAUGCCGCCUUGGUUAUCUAGUGCUGCUAUAACAGAAACACCACAAGUGGAUGGCUUUAGCAAAGAGAAAUUUAUUCUCUCACAGUCUAGGAGGCUAGAAGGCCUAAUUUACGGUGCUAGCUCCAGGGGAAGGCCUUCUUUCUCUGUCGGCUCUGGAGGAAAGGCCUUGUCAUCAAUCUUCCCCUGGUCUAGGAGCUUGUCUGCUCAAGAACCUCGGGUUCAAAGGACUCGCUCUGCUCCUGGCACUGCUUUCUUGGUGGUGUGAGGUCCCCAUGUCUCUCUGCCCAUUUCUCUCUUUUAUAUCUCAAAAGAGAUUGACUUAAGACACAACUUAAUCUUAUAGAUUGAGUCCUGCCUCAUUAACAUAACUGCUACUAAUCCCACCUCAUUAACAUCGUAGAGAUAGGAUUUGCAACACAAAGAAAAUCACAUCAGAAGACAAAAUGGUGGGCAGUCACACAAUACUGGGAAUCACGGCCUCGCUAAAUUGAUACAUAUUUUGGGAGGACAUGAUUCAGUCCAUAACACAUGCACAGCCUUUGGUUGGUGGCGUUUUGGGGGAAUGAAGAAAGUGGAGGGUUGGCCAGUGGGGUACACGGUGCAGAAAAGGGACGGCAUGAACUGGAUGCAAAACCAGGAGCAACGAGUAAGGCUCUAGCGGAAGAAAUAAGGCAGAUCUCGAUGUAACUCUGGGAAACCUUAGCCCCCUCCAGAAUUCUUGGAGCUUUGGGGCAUGAUCCUCAUUCCCCCAUACUUGGGCUGGGAAGCACAAGGUAACCCCAGACAGCUGGAUGCCUUAGGGACACCUAAGAAGCUGAUAUAUGGGUGACAUUUUUCCUUAAGAGGACACCCAGGGUCAACGUCACAGGGGGAUACAGGCAUGGGGGAGGGGGCUUGGAAGACAGUUGAUACCACUAUUUGGGGCAGCUGGAAACUUGGGGUCCUGGUUUCCCUUGAAUUCCAGCCUGGAGGAUUCUGGGGCUGGCCAACCUGGGGAAGGAGGUGGAGUAAGCCUGAGCAGGAGGUAGAGAGCCUUUUCCAGGGGGGUCAGCAGAUGGCGCCCUAAUCCAAGUACUGCAAGGCCAGGCGAGCAAAGAGGGAGUUUGUUCUCCAGGAAAUGACUCACCAGGGAUGACUUCACCAGUUGGGUGUUCUUCACUAGGUUUGGUGGGGUGAGAACCAGGAGGACUGUAUCACCUCAUUGUAACUGUUCGCAGCAUGAUUAAUGGGUGCAGUUGCGGGUGGUCUUCUUGACUCAUUCAUUCAUUCACCAACAUCCUAAUGAAUGCCUACAAGGUGCACAACAUUAUACCUGAUCCUACAGCGACAAUGAGAACAUUCCCUCAGAGGGACUCUGCUCUGUUCCGCUAUGAGUUUGGGCUGUGACGUGGGAGGGUGGGAGUGAGGACUGAAGACUGAUAUCAGAGCACGGAAGAUGGGGGAUGCGAAUGACACAAUGGAGAACACUCCAGUCCAGCCCAAGGUUUUAUCUCAUACUCUCUCCCUCUUCGGAAAUUGGGCAAUAGUUAUCAGCUAUACCAUAUUGCUGGCAUUUAUUACAAACUCCCGUAUAGUCUGAUAAGUUAUAUUUUAUCUACCCUAUGAGCUGAAUGAUAAACUUCUCUAGGUCAGGAAUUACGUCUUACUCAUCACUAUUAUCUCCCCACUUCCCACUCCAACCCCUGCUUCCGCAGUACCCAGCACAGUCCCUGGAAUGUAGAGGUGUUCUAAAAGAUCUGGCAAGGAUGACGAAUCCGUGGGCCCUCUGCAAUGAGGCCCUAGGAAUGUGACCGAAGCCCUGCCUGCAAUCCUGAAUGUCACAGAUACCAAUAAAGAUGUCAGAGGUCACCGAGUCAGGGAGCUGCAGGGGACUGGACCUGAGAUACUGUUGGAAUCCCGGCGGCCAUGCUCCCCAGACCUUCUGUUGGCACAGGACAGGAACCAUCCCCGAAGACAACUCAUCAGACAUGAAAGGGACUGGUCAGCGGGAGGGAGAGAGACGCUGAUGAAGAGUGAGCUAAUUAUAUCAGGUGGACACUUGAGAUUGUGUUGGCAACUCUUGUCUGGAGGGGGGAUGGGAGGAUAGAGAGAGAGAGAGAAGCCGGCAAAAUUGUCACGAAAGGAGAGACUGAAAGGGCUGACUCAAGAGGGGGAGAGCAAGUGGGAGUAGGGAGUGAGAUGUGUGUAAACUUAUAUGUGACAGACUGAUUGGAUUUGUAAACAUUCACUUGAAGCUUAAUAAAAGUUACAAAAAAAAAAAAAAA
Molecule: long non-coding RNA, 11030 nt
Organism: Loxodonta africana (African savanna elephant)
Lineage: Eukaryota; Metazoa; Chordata; Mammalia; Proboscidea; Elephantidae
Exons: 2
Source: RefSeq, a predicted model, not a curated record